This is a long non-coding RNA of Fukomys damarensis (Damara mole-rat), 4001 nucleotides long. RefSeq lists it as uncharacterized. The transcript is spliced from 5 exons. NCBI's taxonomy places the organism in Eukaryota, Metazoa, Chordata, Mammalia, Rodentia, Bathyergidae. The record is from RefSeq and is a predicted model, not a curated record.
GGUUGUGCCGUCACACCUCAAACUGUAAAAGUUACAGCAACAGUGCAUAAAUGCAGUUUGUGUAUAUAUGCAUGUAUAAGAAAAAAAUAGCAGAUACUUUGGUAAAACACGUGGUUUCAGGCACUUAGUGAAGGUCUUGAAAUAUGUCCUCCAUGGAUGAGGGGGAAUUACUGUAAGCUCCUUUUCAGGUGCUUAACUUUUGGUUACAGCAUCUCUGGUGAGAAUCUCCUUCCACGUGGAUAAACAGGAUGUCUGCCUGGCUUUGAUUUUUUUCUAAAAUAGGUUCUUACUAUGUUGCCCAUGUUGAUUGCCAAGUCCUAGGCUCAAAUGAUCCUCUUGCCUCAGCUUCCUGAGUCUUGGGAUGUGGGUGUGUACCACCAUACCUGGAUCUAGACUUUACAAUUAUAUUAUCAUCUGUCACAGGUGACACACCAGGUAGCCAAGGUUUAUGAUGAUUCCCUAGUUGUGCCAUGGUUGUCCUAGUGGCCAACUCAUUCAGAAGGUGGGAAGCUGUGCAGGCUCUGGCGUGGGUUAGAGAUUGGCCGCUCUGGCCCAAGACGACCACAUUCCAGUGUACUUCCUCAUGAUGUCACAAAUGCCCUCCAGGGACAGCUGAGUUCCAGGCGCAGCUUGUCGAGCCAGAUCUGUUCCCAGCAGCCCUUUUCUCCUAUCCCAAGACUGAGGCAGGAGUCACAAGCACAGCACUCUGGCUCGCUCCCCAAGCCUUCCUGCCAUCCUCAGGGGCUGCAGAGCCAGUAGUCUGUCCUUUCCACGUUGACGUUUUCAUGCGUCUGAUGGCUUUGCUCUGCAAGAUCAAUGGUCUGCUGGAGAAAGUCUCCCUAUAACUUCUCUAAGGGAUGUGGCACAGCCCUAAUCAGGCUUCUUCCUCUAGCAGGAGAAGGGAGAGGGUCCCAGUGCCAUCAAGAGAGCCUUCAUAUACCUGGUCUUCCACAAUGGCUUCAUCUAAACACAGAGGAAAGGGCAGCCUGGCCAAGCAGGAUGGCAGGACAGAAGAGAGGACAGGAAUGAAAGUAAUGCGGUGUUCCAGAGGCAGGCCUUUGACGACACUUGGAGCCUGACCGGUGUACACUGGCUUCCACAUGUGCAGCCUCCCAGCGUGCUGGGAUGAAAGGUGCGCGUCACUACAGCCGGCUCCAUUUCUGCUGUUGAUUCGUUAUGUGACUAUGGAGCAGUUGUGUCCCCCGCCUGAGCCUCAGUUUCCCCAUCGGCGAGCUGAGCUUGUGAUGAGACCAAACCCUUCCGGCCUUGGCACUUUGCACUCCUUCAGCGAACAGGGAAACAGUGUGCUGAGGACGGAGCCCAGGGCCCGGCACAUGCUAGGUAAAUGCUCUGUCUCUGAGCUCCCUCCCCAGCCUGACAGUGACGUUUUAGAAAGAUACACACGCCAGCAGGAAGGGGAACAGGACGCGAGAUAUGAGAAAUGCCUUCAAAUACCUCAGCAACCAUAGCAAAGCGCACACCACUGCUGUCGGGCCACCUCCAUUCUCAGUACGACCUUACCGUUCACAUCAUGUUCUCCCCUCUCAUUCACCCCGUUGCUGGGCACAGUAGACUAAGUCACCCCCAUUUCACACAUGAAAAAAAGGGGGAGGGGAAGAAUCCAAAACGUCGAAUGGCCAUGUGACAAGUGGUAAGGUUGUACUGCACCGUCUGUCUUCUGGCACCUCACCUGGUGUCCCGGCUAAGGGGCCACAUCGCCCAGAUGCUCUAGAGAAGCUCUCCCUCCUCAGACGGAUGCCCAUCCCAUCCCCACAACUCUCCGAGUCCGCACUCAUCAUCCCCAGUGACUCCUCCAGGAAUCUGACUGCGACUGGUACUUCAGUGCGGAGCCUCCGGAGAGUCCUCUGGAAUCUCCGAUUCCCCACCAAGAGGACCAGGUCUCAUUUUGGCCCACGACGGGUGGGCCACGAGCAGCUCCCGACCGCUUCGCUGCCUCCACCAGGAGUAAGGGACACAGUUCCUGGGUCAACCAUGGCACCUAAGGCAUCUGCUGAGCUGCACCUCCAGAGACAGAGUCUUCGUCUAUGCCAGGGGCGGGGACUAGAUACUUGUGGGGCCAGAAGUGCGAGUGAGUCAAAUUCGGGGGGCGGGGAACCGACUACAAAUUGGGAUGCAUUUGCCCAUCUAAAGGGGGCAGAUGCUACUCAGCUUUAGCCUACUGGUGCCAACUACGGAACUCACUCACGUUUUAAAUAAUAGCUUAAGAGUUUUAUUGAUUGUGAAAUCAAAAGGUCAGGGUAUGACUGAAAAAUAAGGCGAACGUUAAAAACCUAUUUAAAACAUUUAUGACAAUAAAGACACUGCCACAGUCACCCUCGAUAUAUACCCCUGUCACUUCAAACACACUGGUCCCAUCAUUCCUGCCUCUUUCUCUAAGAGUCCUGGAAGUCCUGUUGAUGUCUUCCACUGCUCUGUCAUAGCUGCCUUCAUGUCCUGAAAUGAUUCAAAACAUUUAUCUUUCGUGGUCAUUUUGACUCUGGGGAAGAGGCAGAAGAAGCACAGGGCCAGACCCGAUGAAUAAGGUACACAAGGACGUGCUGUAAUAUCUUUAGGAGUCUGCCCUUCUGUUGGACAGCACUUGGCAGUGGAAUUUACUAAAGUUUGGAUCACACCUUGGACACUUAUGAAAGAGCACUUCCAGAAGUGCUUCAGAAAGGGGCAUGAUGGGAGGAGCGUGUUUGAAAUUAGGGGAGUAUUUUGAGGGAGAUUAAUGGCAAUGUAUCUUUGACUGUAUACAUUUUAUUUUAACUCACACUAUGUUUUGAUCAGCCCUGGCAUUAAAUCAAAAGGUAUCCAUAGACCCCUGUGUGCAGCCUCUGCCCUGAGGCCCAUUUCUUAGGCAGUGGACACUGCCUGUAGUACACAUGGAGCUGAUACUCUCUCCCAAAAACAUGUACGCUGGCAACCAGAGUUGGAGUGGGUGGAGAGGAGAGGAGGGUCGGUCUGAUCAAGAGGAAGACAGGAGUAAGCAACCACAUGACCCUAAAUUAAGCAGUACAGGGGGUGGGGAAAAAAAAGCUUGGUGUUUGGAAGUAAAUGCACACUGAAUUAUUCAAGACGGGCUCAGCCCAGGGCAGAAAUAGAAAAUAAGUCCUUGCUGUGUCCCGAUCCCACCUAAACUGAACUUGACGAUACCCUGUCACAAGACAGCUUUGAUGGAAAUGAGGAUGAUGAUCACUGAUGCCAUCCGAUGUGGUGAUUGAUAAUGUUCUCUGCUAAACCCCCACCGUGUCCUUGAAUCCCAGGAAGGUGCCUGGCGUGGGUCCAACCAUAUGGACUCUGGCUCCGGGAGCAGAGUAUUUCCUCUGGGUUAAAACUCUAAAUACAGUCGUGUGCUGCGUAACAACCUUUUUGUUGACAGUGGACCACAUAUACAAAAUAAUACCCCCACAGACAUAAAAUUAUACCCCCAGUGGCAUCACAGUCGUCUUGGUUUGUAUAAGUACAUGUUCACAUAUCAUAGGCAAAAUCACCUAAAUGAUGCAUUUCCCAGACUGUCCCCUUAUCGAGAAUGGAUGUGUGACUAUACACAUAGCUUGCCUUUGGCUCCAUGAAGUCACCCUUUCUCCGACAGCUUGUCCUUUGUGGUGGCUCUGUGACCUUGUGGUCCUACUUGACCUUGUGUCCCUAGCAUCCUAUGAGGCUUUGACUGGCUACUGCAAGACCGUAGACCCCAGCAGGGCUCAGUGUUCCCUAAACACACGCGGAAACCAAUAUUCACGAAGCUCCCAUAGACCUGGUAUUCCCCCCGCCCUUGAUAUUUGUAAUAAAACAAGGAGAUGUGGCCUUACUGCUUCCUCUUGGUGUUACCCAACUUACAAACUGUGCCAAACCUCAGUUUCCUCAUCUGUAACUGAAUGUCAAAACAGCACUCACAUUUCAUGGGGUUCCCAGUAGAAAUUAACAAAAUAAUGAAUUCAAAGUGUUUAACAGUGCUUGGCAUAUAAUAAUUUAAUACGCUGUUCGUCAUGGUGUUUUUU